AGAGGCGCCGGAAUCAUCCAGCCGUCCUCCUCGUCAAAGUUAUGGGCAAUUUGACCUGCCAUUUAGCUGUUUCCUGGAGCCGGUUGAAUGGUUCUUAGGGCCGUUUCUACCUUGAAGACAACACAGGGCUCCAGGAUAAGAAACAUCAGAAGCCUCAACAGGAGACUGCAAAUUCUUGGCUAUUUAAUUGGAGCCUUUUGCUGCUCUUGAAACCAGCUGGAGAGAAGGAGCAAGCGAAGAGCUUGAAGAGCUGGUCUUUGAGUCAGAGCUAAGUAUAGCAUAGCCAAGUGCUUCAUCUCCCCACUCACCAUAUCGCUGUGGAUUUUGAAGGAGGUUGGCUCCAGGGAGAAAAUAUUUAAGGCUGGAGAAAUAGUUUUCUUCAGUUUGUCUUCUGUGGAUGCAAAGCACAAAUGUUACGCUGGUUCUUACUGAUUAACGUGCUAACAAGUUAAACAGUUUUUCAGUGUCCAGCCUCGCCUCUUCUCAUGGCCGCUGUGCACACGCUGGGGGGCCACUGUGGGGAGGCCAUGCCCGAGGCAACCAAGCUCCCAUCCUGGCCCCUGGUUCCCAGGAUGCACUUCUUUCUCUGGGUAUCAUUGGUAUCUUCUUCAGGCUGUCUCUGUAUCCUGUCUUUCCUCAUCCACGUCUGUCUUUCUUUGAACUCACCAUGGGUCGUUCCCUCUUGGUGUGUUUUCACUUGAGAUCCCACACUGAACACCUAGACCCAGAGCUCAAGGAGUUUGUAAUCUGGACUUUCCAGAUUGUUCAGUGUCUGCCAGUGGCUGGUGAAGCUUGUGGCUGUCAGAUCUGCAUUGGUUGCUGUCACCCCGAGGAUUUGAGAAGGAAAGGGAAGCAGUGCUUUUGGUGACCUAUGUUCUCAAGAACAUAAAACCUUGGUAACUGCUUCAUGCUAGGCCGGGCGUCUCAACCCAAGGCAGAGAAACAUCUCUAUGGGAUUUUUGAAGACAAACAGACAUGUGAGCCAUGAAUUUUCUCCUCCACUUCCUUAUACUGGACAUAACUUUAAACCAAGAAACAAGUUUUGGUUCUGCUGUACCCUUGCUAUGACCACCACCUGGAAUAUUGGUUUGGACCCAUCCACUCAGCCCAAAGGAUGGAGGAGGAAGGCCAGGACUGACUCAAGGGCACGGCCCUGCCAGGUUGGAAAUAUCCAGUAUCAUCUGAGAAGCCAGACCCAUUUAUGGGACCAAGUAGCUGGAAGAAAGGAAGCAGAAGAAAAGACCUUGAUCCUGACCGUGAAGGCACAGUUAGCCACUUCAGAUGAGACCCCCUUAGAGCUUCACUGUCUAACGUGGAAGCCACUAGCCACACGUGGCCACUGAACAUUUGAAAACAUGGCAAGUCUGAAGUGAGGUGUUCCGUAAGUGUAUAAUACGAACCUGAUUUUGAAGACUUAGUACAAAAGAAUGUUAAAGUACCUUAUUUAUCUUUCAUCUAUUGCUUAUUUGCUUAAAUGAAAAUAUUUUACAUAUAUUGGAUAAAAUAAAUCAUUAAAAUUAAAGUUACCUGUUUUUUUU
RNAcentral lists this long non-coding RNA (1538 nucleotides) under Bos indicus x Bos taurus (hybrid cattle). RNAcentral's name for it is "lncRNA (ENSBIXG00000000708.1)". Lineage: Eukaryota; Metazoa; Chordata; Mammalia; Artiodactyla; Bovidae. The record is from RNAcentral.